This 461-nucleotide ribosomal RNA is filed under the name uncultured Geobacillus sp. Its description in RNAcentral is "bacterial SSU rRNA". It matches the Rfam family "Bacterial small subunit ribosomal RNA", at positions 923 to 1382 of the family's 1533-position model. The record is from RNAcentral. Lineage: Bacteria; Bacillati; Bacillota; Bacilli; Caryophanales; Anoxybacillaceae.
GCACAAGCGGUGGAGCAUGUGGUUAAUUCGAAGCAACGCGAAGAACCUUACCAGGUCUUGACAUCCCCUGACAACCCAAGAGAUUGGGCGUUCCCCUUCGGGGGGACAGGGUGACAGGUGGUGCAUGGUUGUCGUCAGCUCGUGUCGUGAGAUGUUGGGUUAAGUCCCCGCAACGAGCGCAACCCUCGCCUCUAGUUGCCAGCAUUCGGUUGGGCACUCUAGAGGGACUGCCGGCGACAAGUCGGAGGAAGGUGGGGAUGACGUCAAAUCAUCAUGCCCCUUAUGACCUGGGCUACACACGUGCUACAAUGGGCGGUACAAAGGGCUGCGAACCCGCGAGGGGGAGCGAAUCCCAAAAAGCCGCUCUCAGUUCGGAUUGCAGGCUGCAACUCGCCUGCAUGAAGCCGGAAUCGCUAGUAAUCGCGGAUCAGCAUGCCGCGGUGAAUACGUUCCCGGGGCUU